GAUGAACGCUGGCGGCGUGCCUAAUACAUGCAAGUCGAGCGACCAGAUAAGGAGCUUGCUCCUUUUCCGUUAGCGGCGGACGGGUGAGUAACACGUGGGUAACCUACCCAUAAGACUGGGUUAACUUCGGGAAACCGGAGUUAAUACCGGAUAACAUUUGGAACCGCAUGGUUCUUAAGUGAAAGAUGGUUUUGCUAUCACUUAUAGAUGGACCCGCGCCGUAUUAGCUAGUUGGUAAGGUAACGGCUUACCAAGGCAACGAUACGUAGCCGACCUGAGAGGGUGAUCGGACACACUGGAACUGGGAGACGGUCCAGACUCCUACGGGAGGCAGCAGUAGGGAAUCUUCCGAAAUGGGAGAGAGCCUGACGGAGCAACGCCGCGUGAGUGAUGAAGGGUUUCGGCUCGUAACUCUGUUAUUAGGGAAGAACAAACGUGUAAGUAACUGUGCACGACUUGACGGUACCUAAUCAGAAAGCCACGGCUAACUACGUG
This 495-nucleotide ribosomal RNA is filed under the name uncultured bacterium. RNAcentral describes it as "partial 16S ribosomal RNA". It matches the Rfam family "Bacterial small subunit ribosomal RNA", at positions 28 to 507 of the family's 1533-position model. The record is from RNAcentral.